This is a long non-coding RNA of Lolium perenne, 784 nucleotides long. RefSeq lists it as uncharacterized. Lineage: Eukaryota; Viridiplantae; Streptophyta; Magnoliopsida; Poales; Poaceae. The record is from RefSeq and is a predicted model, not a curated record.
CUGAUGUCGCCGUCGCUGGGAGCAGCGCCGCCUUGUCAUCGCCAUCGCCGGGACCAGCGCCGCCUCGCGCGAUCGACGCCGACGCUGACAUCUCCUGGUCAGCAGCCGCGAGGAGCAGCAGCCCUCGCUAGGGGGUCGGCGACUACUGCAGGGGAGAGCUGGCGGCGCAGGAGGCCCCAGUUCGUCAAGGAGGACGCCGACUAGCAGAGAGUGGUGCAGCGCCCAAUUCGUCUAGGAGGGCACCCAAGACCAGCCCAGGUGUCUGCCUGACCGCAGGUUGUAACUUGCUGAAUGCAAAGAGAAGCUCUCUCUGUGUGAAUUAUUGCCUAUUUGACUAGCCUACCAAUUCUGGGAUAUUGGUUGGACUUGGGACAUUGGGAGGGAGCAUGUUAAUUUGUUCGAUGAACAAUUAAGUAAGUUGCUAGACACUUGACAGCUUGAUCAGAAGGAAUUGGACAGUUCGGAGAACGCCACCUAUUCUCACAAAACUUACUACGUCCUGGGCUUGGAGCAUUUGCUCCCGCUGCUCACAACCUGUUCAAUGAGCAGUUGGAUCUCCAAUAAUAGUAGCUCCUUUCGACUGUGCUGAUGCAAUAGAAAGUUCCAUUAGAUAUUGGAAGCUAAGUUUGAUACUUCUCCUGGAAAGUGAAUUGUGUGGCCAAACCUCAUCAGGUCUGACAUCAGAGAUAGGGGUGAGCAGUUCUUUUGUGAUUCUUGUGCAUCAUUAGCUCCCUCUAAUAAUCAUUCCCAUAUUUUCUGGUGUCCAAACCAUCCUUUUGAAUUC